RNAcentral lists this ribosomal RNA (253 nucleotides) under uncultured bacterium. RNAcentral's name for it is "partial 16S ribosomal RNA". It matches the Rfam family "Bacterial small subunit ribosomal RNA", at positions 524 to 776 of the family's 1533-position model. The record is from RNAcentral.
UACGUAGGGUGCGAGCGUUAAUCGGAAUUACUGGGCGUAAAGAGUGCGUAGGCGGUCCCGCAAGUCCGCUGUGAAAGCCCCGGGCUUAACCUGGGAAUGGCAGUGGAAACUAUGGGACUUGAAUCUGGCAGAGGGGGGUGGAAUGCCGCGUGUAGCAGUGAAAUGCGUAGAGAUGUGGCGGAACACCGAUGGCGAAGGCAGCCCCCUGGGCUGAGAUUGACGCUCAGGCACGAAAGCGUGGGGAGCAAACAGG